Long non-coding RNA from Betta splendens (Siamese fighting fish), 5645 nucleotides. RefSeq lists it as uncharacterized. The record is from RefSeq and is a predicted model, not a curated record. The transcript is spliced from 4 exons. NCBI's taxonomy places the organism in Eukaryota, Metazoa, Chordata, Actinopteri, Anabantiformes, Osphronemidae.
UGGAUACAUCAGUGGGGAGGACACGUGUUCCGUGCGAUGACAGCUCCUUUUAAUGUUUCAUAGCCGGCUGACAGAUAACAGCUCUCAGACCUUCCCUCGUUCCUGCGAUCACUCACGUGCCUCCGUCCUGAGGCCUCGCAGACAAACGCCAGGAAAUACGUGCGGUCGAGAUCACAUCACGCCUCAGUCCUCGGAGGCUCAAAGGGAGAGAUGGUAGCUGAGCGGUGACUCGGCCAAAGUUUGCUGUUUCCAGUCAGCACCGGCCUGAUUCACCGCCUGGUUUAACAUUCAGUGUGUGUGUGUGCGUGUGUGUGCGUGUGUGUGCGUGUGUGUGCGUGUGUGUGCGUGUGUGUGUGUGUGUGUGUGUGCGUGUGUGUGUGUGCGUGCGUGUGUGUGUGUGCUCGCUGCAAACCAGAACCAGAGCGCAGCUUCUUCUCCUUCACAAAUGAUUUUCAUCAUUCAUCCCAUCGUUCCAUUAGCUAGCGCUAACUGCAGCUAGCGCUAACUGGAGCUAGCGAGCCUCGGGAUCUCGUGGUCGCGGUCCGGCUUUGACGGGAGACAGAGAGGUGUGCGUGGCGGCGUGAGUCUAGUGCCGGCCCUUCAGUCGAUGGCCAUUACGCCGGCUUCAGAGCUGGAUGCUCAGGCUAAGUGUUGACUGAUAAAAAGGCGCCUGGAAGCACAACAGAAACCGGCCGAGCAACACAAAUGCAAAGUGGAGCCAAGGUGACUGCGGGACGGCGCUAAGGUCACCUUGUAGGAGGAGGAAGUUGGAUCCCGGAGGAGGAAGCAGCAUCUGCUGGAGAAACCACGACGCUGCCUUCCGUCACGCGUGACAUAAGCAUGUCAGCCCCACGGGCUGGAGUCACCUGCUGAUGUGAUCCACCAACACCGAUAAGGUGUGAAAAUGUGUUCAAACACUCAAGACUAAGAAAUAACAUUAUAAUACAUAACCUUUAUGAGUUGUCUUUUUAUUUUACUGCUUUGGAGCCCGUAUAAUGAAAACCGUCUGCUUGUUUUACGGCCUUAUUAUACGUUAACAAGAGUCAGGUCGGCCUGUGAUUAUGCGCGGAGGCCUCGUGUGAACGGUGAUUUGUGUUCUCACCGCACACGGAGCCAUGUUGAUGUAAAGUCUGUUAUGCUCUCCCUGUAAAUGAAGUGGAUCACCCUUUAAAUCAGGCUGCCGAGCGCAAACGCGUGCCCUCGCGCGACGACGGCGGACCGAGCAGCGGCGCGCGUCUCAAUAUGCGUCACCGCGCAUCUAUACUUGAUUGUUGCAAACCUGGCAGCUGCGACGCAACGCGGUGAUUACGGCCAACGCUCCUCUCUCCUGGAAAAGCAAACAGGCUCCGCUCCGACCGAGCAGCCCUUUUUCAUGAAACAAGCCGGUGUUAUGGCAACUCGCCCUUCGCUGAUGUUGCGCAGCGCUGCCAGAAAACGUGCUGGAUGCUUGUGUCAAAGGUUAAAUAGCAUAAACCGGAGCAUCAUCACAGAGCGAUGGAGCUCCAAGGUAAUGAAGAGUCAACAAAACAUCUGGAAUUAAUGAAAAAUACAAAUACUGCCGUUUACAGUAUGUGUGAAAACGUUUCACUCAUUUAUUAAAGGAUAGAACUGUUCUCCACCCACAUCAGUGAUAAUCAUCUCACCAGCUGCACGUGGCUCGUUCGUUUCCAUUCGUUGUGAAGACGCAGCAUAUUGUGUAGUCUGACGCGCGCCCAUCCAUCCACGCGGCCGAGACAGGAAAUGAAGGGGAGCCGUAUCGUCUGGUAAUAACACGGAGGCCGACGACGAAGCUGCGGCCGCGGACGGAGGCAGAGAUGGAAACGCGGCGAUUCAGGGGAACAGCGCGCGCGCAACCUAAUCAAUACGCACCAGCGCGCCGCAUUGACAACCAAAAUAGAGAGCAGCCGCGCUGUGUUUGUAGCCCACACACGCCUGCGUCGCUCGGGUCAAUCUGUGCUUUCUUCUCCAAUCAUCCUGAUGAAACGCAGCGGCUGCCGAAACACGGGCAGUCCACACUAAACUGCAGUUUAAACAAUCGGGAGGAGGAAGGGGUGGGUUUGAAGGCGUCGUCUCACUGGGGCUCGUUUAAAUGUUUAUGAAUAAUAUAAGUUACUCUCAUAUGGCAGAUGUAUUAAUUUCCUCAUGCAGAUUUGCCUUCAGCUGCAUUAAAACUUCUGCGAUAAGAGUAAAUAUUGCACUGAACUCAAUCACACGCAACACUGCCACCUUGUGGACAUCGACACGAAUCGCGUGUAAUAAUCCAGUCCAGUUAACAGAGAAGCCGGACAUAUAAACGGAGAUCAUCAUCAGAGAGAAAGGAGACACAUUUAAAGGAUGUUUUGAUUUUCUUUCAUGACUUGAUAUCAGUUUGUUUUAAGCUCACGUGUGUUAAUAUUAAAUAAUUUAGUAAUAAAGUCCAGGGUUUACUCUAAAUUCACAAAUAUUUCCUCCGCAACGCUCCCUCGUCAUCUCCACAUGCAACACUGCCCCCUUGCGGCGGAACAUAAACAUUACAACCGGCACCACAUCUCUCUCUUGAGACUGGAGGAUACAGCUGGAACCAGCAAGUGCGGCCACGGCCGCAGUAAGUUGGACCGUGUCAGCGAACAGGAACCGGAUCUGCUUCACUUGCGAGCGCUGGGAUUCUGCGCCGAGAUACGCUACGCGGAGCCAGCGCCAAACCAGGGUGACAUGUUGUGGUGGCUCGGCCUCGGUCACAUGGUUCGGACGGCCAGUCCACAUCAGAGUCCAACUCCGAGUCAGACGCGUUAACCAGGCUCCUGCCGUCAGCGCGUGGCCUCCGGCACCGGGCAGACCCACCUCAGCAUGCCUCACAAGAGCAAAAAAGACAAGGAAUCGUCCAAAUCUGGAAGAAGUAAAAAGUCUGGAAGUAAAAACGGGCCUUCAGAGGAUCAAGUGGGCUCCAACAAGAAAGUGCCUCCUUCCACUCAGCUGAUGAGGGUAAAGCAGCCGGCGUCACACUCGGCCGUGAAGCGGGAGAAGAGGUUCAGCACUUCCUCUUUUCCGCUCAGCGCUAACAGGGAACUCCACAAACUACCUGCACUGGCAGGUAUGUCUGCUUUAAUAUCCAGGGUCACUCUUUGUUCCUAUUUCAAAAAAUGCACCACCGCUGUGGUCACUGUGGAAAAUGCUGGGAGACAAUUAUCAGAGGUAGCAUGUUCGGGCCUUUAUGGAUGAAGGGAAUCAUAUUAACAAUUCAUGGCCUUGGUGGAUCCUCAUAGCCGCCUUUUUAACCUUGAGGACUCUGCUCACUAUAUAAUUUAUAGAUACGUAGACUGCCCAUCAGCUUGAUCUGUAAUGCAAAUGAUGUGCAAUCAGCCGCAUCUCCUGCUGUACCUGGAAGAAAGAGAUAGUGUAGCACCCCUGGAGGCCUCACUCCUGUAAGAUAAGCUCACACUGGCUGGACUGGAGGAGAGUGGUGGAAUCUGGGCCAUCCAGCAAAAAAAAAAAAAAAACCCAGAUGUAAACCACUCCCAUACACUGGUUAUAACAACAGCCUUAUUAAGACAUCUCAGUAACUAUGAUGGGGCUUUUGUCCAUGCGUCAUAUGAAGUCAUUUUAGUGAUUGCCAAUCGUCAAAUUAAGCACAGUAAUUAAAGCACGACCAGCUGGCACCAGGCAGGGUUUUGAUUUAGGGCAUUGAUCCGCUCUGUGUGCGCACAUCGGGCUGAUGCAGAUUCUUACACGAGGCAGCGAGGCUGAGGUUUGAACACUCGCAUCAAUCUUUCAUGGCUUCUUUGUUUACACGCAGCUUAACAGGCAGGCUCCGGUCCGAGCGGUUUCCUGCUGAGCUGCGCCGGAGCUCGGGUCCGGCGAGGACGCGAGGUGUCACAAUUUGCAUUUUUGCUAUUAAAAGUGCUCGAGGGAAAGAACGUGUGGACAGACCCUCAUUCAGACUAGAAAUAUCUUUAUUGUAAACUAUUAAUUGGACUUCUACAAGCAUUGAAUUGAUGGCUACUCAUUUUUUUUGCACGUGCUCCUUUAUGUUUUUAGCAGCUAAGAUGCUGUGAAGUGCCAAAGGCUUUAAAGUCUCAUCAUUCCCACUUUGUGCGAGUGUGCAUCUCACCCUUAAAUAUCAUGUGUCUACAGGCUGUCAGGGCCUGUAGGACUACACCGAAUGUGUGCUGAAGAACUGUUAACAGCAUGUUGCUGCACAUGUUAACAACAUGUAACGUUUAGUGAUGGGAUUGGGUUCCACAAGGUCCUGAUGCAGCCUGUGCUGCCACCUACUGGUCAACAAGUAGAAGUGCUUUAAAGUCAUAUUGUAGUUUUUUUUUACUAACUGCUUUUAAAAACCCUCACAUUAACUAUAAAACACCAUACACCAGAUGAUUAAACCUUUAUUUCUGCAUUAUACAAUGAAAAGAAAAUAAUAAUGUUCUGUUAUUCUUUGUUAUGACGAACAGAUAAAAGCGUAAACAUGGCUCAAACAUCAGUGGAAGAAAAUACUAAAAAGGCAGAAGGACGUGAAGUUGAAUCUCACUUUAUUUGCGUGUACCUGCAGAACUGUGUUUCCUCACUAAGUCUUACUUCCAGUACAAUAUCGGCCUCCUCUGUUGUUUACACCAAACAUUAACCUGUGGUUUAAUUAUACUGUUCACGCUCUGUUGUCAGUAAACUUUUACAGAGACACUGCUAAGGAUUUCUAGAUGUAGCGUUGGGUGUUUUGAUUUUCUCUCCAUUCAUAUCUGCUCAAAAUGUGGAUCUUUAAUAACCAAACAAUAAUAUUCUGUUCAUAUUUAUACUCAUGUUCAAGAUCUUGAACAAUUAUUAGUUUAAAUACCUUUUUGGUCCAAACAAAGGCCCAGAGGCGGAGGAGGGGCUGGGCCUACAUGUGCAUUCACUGCUACUACUUCUAUUUUGUAAAGCCAUAAAGCUGAGAAAUGGCACAAAGGAGAUCCAACCACAUAACAAUGCAAAAUGCAAAAACCUCAUUCUGUGUGAGUCUGAGGGUUGAUAUAACAGAGACGCGGGGUGGCGUCUACAGCAUCCUUCUGUGCAUGGGGCCCCACUUUAUAUCCGGCUAAGCACACGAUACCCAGUGAAGAGGUUGUGUCUUUCCAUGGGCAUUUCUGAGCCCACUCCCACUCAGGCUGCUGGGAAAUAAGUGGCAGCUUUCAGAAAAUACCAGCGUUCGUUGUCAUGGCUGUGGAAUGUAAUGGCACCUCUUGGAGAGGCUUUGGCCCCUGAGUGAGAGAACGGUAGGAGUGAAACCUGUUAGCGAUAGACUUGGCUUUCGCGUCCUGGGCCCAUCCAGCCCACAGAACCGAGCAGAACACCUGCCUGGGACACGUGUUGGCUGCAAGAAAAUCAUAUUUUUAGGUCACAUCUGCCUUUUCAGUAGCAUUACAUCAAGCAAAACAGCUGCUUGGUUGGUUAGAUUUUAAUUAAUUGUUCCGUGUUAUUGGAACAUAUCAUUGUUGCUGUGAAUAAAUAACUGUGUAAUGAUGUGGUGUUGUGUGCCCUGCUGUUAUGAAAUACGCAGUCGGCCCUGCCAUAAAUCACAUGCAACAAAGGGAAGAUGCUUUAUUAUGCAGACAUGAAAUGCAGAUUAUUCAGCUUCACUUUGGACUUAACAGUUCCAAAAUACUAUCAUUAAAUUAUUAAAAAUAUACACGUAGAAC